GAUGAACGCUGGCGGCGUGCCUAAUACAUGCAAGUCGAGCGAACGGACCAGAAGCUUGCUUCUCUGUUGUUAGCGGCGGACGGGUGAGUAACACGUGGAUAACCUACCUUUAAGACUGGGAUAACUUCGAGAAACCGUUGCUAAUACCGGAUAAUAUUUUGAACCGCAUGGUUCAACAGUGAAAGACGGUCUUGCUUUUCCUUAUAGAUUGAUCCGCGCUGCAUUAGCUAGUUGGUGAGGUAACGGCUUACCAAGGCAACGAUGCAUAGCCGACCUGAGAGGGUGAUCGGCCACACUGGAACUGAGACACGGCCCAGACUCCUACGGGAGGCAGCAGUAGGGAAUCUUCCGCAAUGGGCGAAAGCCUGACGGAGCAACGCCGCGUGAGUGAUGAAGGUCUUCGGAUCGUAAAGCUCUGUUAUUAGGGAAGAACAUAUGACGAAGUAACUGGGGAUAUCGUGACGGUACCUAAUGAGAAAGCCACGGCUAACUACGUG
Molecule: ribosomal RNA, 497 nt
Filed under: uncultured bacterium
Lineage: Bacteria
Description: partial 16S ribosomal RNA
Rfam family: Bacterial small subunit ribosomal RNA
Source: RNAcentral